GGCCGCUCCGCCAGCGCCGCCCCCUCCCGCCCGGCGCGGCCCGGCCCGGCCCCGCCGGCAGUUGCCGAGCGCUCGAAAAACAACAGGAGCCGCGGGGGCGCGGUGCGGCGCGGGGUCGGUGGCGGCCUCGGCCCCGGGGCAACCGGCUGGUCCCUGCGGCGAGGCUCGGGGAGGUGCGCGGCCCCGGCGAGGGGCGCUCUCCGUGCGCAGGAAGCCGCGGGCUGUUCCCGGGUUCUGUGGCUUGUCCGAAGCAGGCGCGAGUCUGCCUCAGACGCUGCCGGACGGCGGAGAAGCGCCCAGACGUGUCACCGAGCUGCCAGCAGCGGGGAGGCCUCACUGGCGAGUACCUAGAUCUGCUGAGUGAACGUUCUAGGCAAGGAAAUAGCCAGCUCGCAGUGACUGCCAGCUCCAGCUCAAGAGUGAAAGAGCAAGAACUGACUGUAAUUACUAGCUGCAAGCUAGUAAUAAAUGCCUGUCUUCCCUGCCUUCGAGGGAUUGAGGCUCUGCCAGCAAUUGAGGUAGAUGGCUUCUGCAGGAAGAAUGUAAACACUUUAUUGUCCUUCUUGAACCUUUUGUGACUCACAGUGAAAACCUGCCCUACAUAUACAACUCUUUCAACUGUGGAAGCUAAAGGAAUUUUGUAUUUCACAAGAGUGCUCAGCAUUUUGUGGGAACAGACUAUAAAUGAAUGCAGUGAAUUGUGAUACAUACAGUUUAAAUGUAAUAUAAAUUGGCUUGGCCUCAUUAACAUAUUUUAAUAAUGCAGUGUUGAAUUUUCCAAGAAAAGAAAGAAAAGAAAUGAUUCAGCUGACCCUGGGAAAUAUGCUUUUAUAUUAAAUUGGGAAAAUAAACCUGGAUUUCACAUUAUUAUGUUAUAUAAUAAUUAAAUCAGUUUAGUAUAAUAAAUAUGAUCUGGCUUGGGA
Molecule: long non-coding RNA, 923 nt
Organism: Dromaius novaehollandiae (emu)
Lineage: Eukaryota; Metazoa; Chordata; Aves; Casuariiformes; Dromaiidae
Exons: 2
Source: RefSeq, a predicted model, not a curated record